UGUCGAUGAAGAGCGCAGCAAACUGUGUGAAUUAAUGUGAACUGCACCUGCCAUGAACAUCGACAACUUGAUUGCACAUUGCGGCCAUGGGUUAGCCUGUGGCCACGCCUGUCCGAGAGUC
RNAcentral lists this ribosomal RNA (121 nucleotides) under Transversotrema espanola. Its description in RNAcentral is "partial 5.8S ribosomal RNA". It matches the Rfam family "5.8S ribosomal RNA", at positions 33 to 154 of the family's 154-position model. From Rfam's summary of the family: 5.8S ribosomal RNA (5.8S rRNA) is a component of the large subunit of the eukaryotic ribosome. It is transcribed by RNA polymerase I as part of the 45S precursor that also contains 18S and 28S rRNA. Functionally, it is thought that 5.8S rRNA may be involved in ribosome translocation. Lineage: Eukaryota; Metazoa; Platyhelminthes; Trematoda; Azygiida; Transversotrematidae. The record is from RNAcentral.